UACGUAGGGCGCAAGCGUUGUCCGGAAUUAUUGGGCGUAAAGAGCUCGUAGGCGGUUUGUCGCGUCUGCUGUGAAAACCUAAGGCUCAACCUUGGGCUUGCAGUGGGUACGGGCAGACUAGAGUGCGGUAGGGGUGACUGGAAUUCCUGGUGUAGCGGUGGAAUGCGCAGAUAUCAGGAGGAACACCGAUGGCGAAGGCAGGUUACUGGGCCGCAACUGACGCUGAGGAGCGAAAGCAUGGGGAGCGAACAGG
This 253-nucleotide ribosomal RNA is filed under the name uncultured bacterium. RNAcentral's name for it is "partial 16S ribosomal RNA". It matches the Rfam family "Bacterial small subunit ribosomal RNA", at positions 524 to 776 of the family's 1533-position model. The record is from RNAcentral.